This 262-nucleotide long non-coding RNA is filed under the name Phoenix dactylifera (date palm). RNAcentral describes it as "long non-coding RNA (PDAC_LNC010243)". The record is from RNAcentral. Lineage: Eukaryota; Viridiplantae; Streptophyta; Magnoliopsida; Arecales; Arecaceae.
CUAUGAAUAAGAUAUUAAUUUAUGCAUUAUUUAGCACUUAUCACACCCCCCAACCUAUAUUUUGCUAGUCCUCAAGCAAAAUAAAAACUAACUCACUUUCGCAGGAAUCGCGAUUGCAUUUACCGUAUGCAAUAAGGCUUUAAACCCCUAGGUGGCCCUAGUGGACAGUUUUGUCUCGUGAGGGUUUCCGGCUCAGAUACCCACAAACUACUGUCGAAAGUAUUUAUUUUAUUGUUUUAUAAAAUCUAAUUUCAAAUGCAUU